AAGUUGGGCAGGGGCAGAGAGAGAAGGAGACACAGAAUCCAAAGCAGGCUCCGGGCUCCGAGCUGUCAGCACAGAGCCUGUCGUGGGGCUUGAGCUCACGAACCGUGAGAUCAUGACCUGAGCCGAGGUUGGACGCUUAACCAACGGAGCCACCCAGGCGCCCCUAUUCAUUUGUUUUAUUGCAGCAUUAUCUACAACAGCCAACAUAUGGAAACGACCUAAGUGUGCACAGACAGACGAAUGGACAAGGAACAUAUGCUACACACACACACACACACACACACACCCACACACAUAUACGCGUGCACACACUGGAAUAUUACUCAGCCAUAGAAAGAAUGAGGCCCGCCAUCUGUGACGGCAGGGAUGGUCCUGGAGCAUAUUAUGCUCGGCGAAAUAAGCCAGAUCAAGGAUUCUCACCUAGAAAGUUACCUGCCUCCGGGGUGUAGACUGGGGGCACUUACAUGACACUGAGUGAUAUUCACUGGAGGGAGUUUAAAGGGUCAAAUAAAGGGGCCACGAAUCACUUGCUGUUGUCACACGUGCACUGGACACCCUUGGGUGAACAGGCGGCCUACUGAGCAGGAACUGUGCUCGUAAGUAACAAAGCCAAUAAGCACCCCGACUGGUUUCUUCCGGAGUCUCCACGGGCACCCAGCCUGAUGACCACCGAGGGCGUUCGUGUGGCCUGCACAUGCCUACGUGGAUUGUGCCUUCACGGGACACUGAUGGGUCUUCAGAUUUUUCUUAUUAAGUUUGGAGACGGACCAAGAACCACCUUUGCCGCAAGGCUGGGUUGAGGCCCCAGGGAAGAAGACGAAGUGAGGACGCCCCCGGUCUCUUCUCCCUCUUUGUGUCUGUCCUCCAGGCUGCGUGCGCUUGCUCUGUGUGGUUACUGAUUUCCGACACUUUGUCAGGUAACGUCUCCGGGUUGUGGACUUUUGCAAGUACCGUCCGGAGAUCUGACUCAAACCCGCGGGCCCGUGCCGGGACCUGGCCGUGUCCGGCCGCCGAGCUCUCCGCGGGGAGUCUGCUGCCCAGUUAUUUUUGAUGUCGCCGUUCCCUCCUCCCAGAAUUGUGACUGGGUCUGUCCGUUCUCCGAGGAGCCUCCGCUCCUCCACCAAAGGCUCUUGACGGCUCCCUCCCGUCAGCAGGAAGGCACCGGCAGCGCCACUCAGGGCUGUCAGUGGUCGACCAGCACUCCGGUCCUCGGGGCGGUUCUCGGGUCCACAUCUCCACCUUCGCCUGGACGAUGUCCGACCGUGCCCCAGGCUCCAGGAAAGUCUCACCUCCUCCUUCUCGUGUCUCUGAGCCCCGCGACCCCUCACCAUGUCCCUCCACGGACGGUGAGCUCCGUGAGUACGGGUGUCUGUCACCUUUGCUGCCCCGGGGCCGGUGCCCGGCUCCCAAGGGGGCGUUCGGUGAUGGUGCGAGAUCGAACAAAUGGGUAAGUGAGGGGAGAUGGCCCACGUGCAGCCUUCUCCCUGGGCCGUUUUCUCCUCUCCUUGUCCGGCACUCAUCCCCCUGACGUGACCGCUCCCUCCCGUGAGAGCUCAGGACGCUUCACCUGUUUCUCACCCCUCAGGCAGCACAUUCUCGGGUACAUGUCCUCGGGCACCUGGGCCCCACUGGGAGCCCUUUGAAGGGGAGCUGUGUCUUAGCUGUCUUGUAACCGCUGGAGCCACAGCAGUUCUUGGCCACGGUGGACAUUUGGUUAGUGGUUCCGGAACAGACGGGCAAGAAAUGAAUGCAAAAGUACCAGGUGCUUUGAUCAGAGGCUCAGUGAAGUUCACCGGACGCUCAGCCCACAUUCUCCACGUGCGUGUGCACUGGGCACGUGUGUGCAUGCACUCGUGGAUGCCGUGAGCUCUUGGAGUAAGAUUCCUGUUAACCCGGUAAAUGUGACGGAAGAGAGAUCUGGCAUUAUUGUAGAAUGGCACAACUUUCUGUCCUAAGUUCUCGGCUCCUGGGGACGUGUGGGAGGAGGGAGGCAGGCUGACCGUGGCUCACCACCCACCUUUUGGGUUCCACAGUCCUCUGCCGCCAAGAUUAAACCCGCAAACGUCAUCCUCGAAGCCGUGUAUGAAAGUCAAAGCCCUCAAGCCUGGUGAGUGGAUGCGCAAUGUAAACUGUGGGACAAAAUUCUAGAAGGGACUUCACCUGAGGUCCGUGAACUCACCCAUCUGGGAAUUAAAUCUGUCAGAUGGACCAUGACGGCCCCAAGUCAUAUGCUGCGUGCAGGUGACUGUGGGAGGCCAUGCUGCAGGUGCCACAGGUCUGGACAGGCCCGACCUCUCCUUGAAUGUGCCCCGUGGGGAUUCUGUUAGCCAGGCAUGCAGGGCACUGAAGGCAGGCGGAGGCAGAUUUUAGGAGACAGAGGCCACGACCGACAUAGAGUGGGCCCACCCCUUGGAAAAUGCCAGAGAAGCCUAUCCUGAACAAUGUAUUUUGCAGCAUCCCUGCCCAUCCCCCUCACUGCCAACCCGUGAUGAUGGCCGUCACCUGGCAGUUACAUAAGGUGACCUUCCCCUCAAGGGACACACCCCUCAAGUGUGUUAGAGGACAGAGGGUCCCAGCCCUGAGCACCAGAGCCGAGCUCUCUGGGAAAGGCAUCUGGUGGGUUUCCCAGGGAUCGAGCCAAAUAUUUGCUUUCAUGCCCCGGAAGUAACCCAGCAGGUGGAGUUUGGACACCGAAAUAUUGGCACCCGUGGGGCAUUCAGGUGAUUUUUGCAUGGGCGCAAUAGCACAGGAUGGUGAAAAUAUCAAACGCACGACCAACAGAAAACAUGGCCGUCAGUUUUGGCAACGUGCACAAGUUCAAGUAACCGGCAACCUCUGGUUCUACGGAAGAACGGGUGGACGACACCCACUGAAAGUCUGGAUCCAGAGGUGGUUCCACGGAGGCGAACACAUGGUUAAGCCCAACCCAGAGAACGGGGGGCACAGACGCGGGCCCUGCGCCUUCCCGCCCCGUGGAGACCGGCUUCAUGAUUGCACGUUGCUGGUGAGUGCCCCCUGUGUGGCCCCCUGCGUGAUGCGGCCUGGCUGCCAGCUGUUGACCGAAGCCUGGGAAGGAUAUCGGCACCUCCCUGCCCUCCCAGAGCUGCCGGGGACAGCGAGGCGAGCAGGCCAGGAUCGGGCACCUUCCCGUCGCUCUUGUCUGCGGCUCACAGGGCAGUGGGACUGACAGACUGCCCACUGACGGGCCCGGUGGGCAGGACGCCCCGGGAGGUGGCGGCCUGGCCCCUCGGUCCCGCGGGCUUCUGGUCUGCUUAGUGCCGGCCGUGCGGCUGUCUCCGCAGAGGCUCUCAGAGCCUGUGCCCACAUCCCUGCGGCCCCUCAGAGCCCUGAGGUCCCCGGCGAAGGCGUACGGCAGCCAGGCCUCCUGUGCCAUCAUGGGGGACAGUCCUACACUCUCUGCUCCUUGUGUCUGCCUUUCUGGGCGAGAUUUCUUUUGAAGAAAGGAAUCUGAAUCUGAGGCUAAAGAAAUGUCUGGAAACCCCUACUUUAGUUUUAGAUGGCUGCUGUAUACUUACUGGGCUAAAAUAAACGCUGUUUGCUCCA
Long non-coding RNA from Acinonyx jubatus (cheetah), 3564 nucleotides. RefSeq lists it as uncharacterized. The record is from RefSeq and is a predicted model, not a curated record. The transcript is spliced from 3 exons. Lineage: Eukaryota; Metazoa; Chordata; Mammalia; Carnivora; Felidae.